RNAcentral lists this ribosomal RNA (380 nucleotides) under uncultured eukaryote. RNAcentral's name for it is "partial 18S ribosomal RNA". It matches the Rfam family "Eukaryotic small subunit ribosomal RNA", at positions 592 to 976 of the family's 1831-position model. The record is from RNAcentral.
CAAUAGCGUAUAUUAAAGUUGUUGCAGUUAAAAAGCUCGUAGUUGGAUUUGUGGCGUACGGUGUGUUCCGGGCACUUGUUGUCUGAGUAACCUGCUGUUGCCAUCCUUGGGUGGAACCUGUGUGGCAUUAGGUUGUCGUGCAGGGGAUGCCCAUCAUUUACUGUGAAAAAAUUAGAGUGUUCAAAGCAGGCUUAUGCCGUUGAAUAUAUUAGCAUGGAAUAAUGAGAUAGGACUUUUUUGCUAUUUUGUUGGUUUGCGCAAAGAUGUAAUGAUUAAUAGGGACAGUUGGGGGUAUUCGUAUUCCAUUGUCAGAGGUGAAAUUCUUGGAUUUUUGGAAGACGAACUACUGCGAAAGCAUUUACCAAGGAUGUUUUCAUUAA